UGCUUUUGGCUGAUUUGAAGCGGUACAUGGACUGUUAAUCCGUAUGUCACUGGUUCAAGUCCAGUAGGAGGAGCCA
This 76-nucleotide transfer RNA is filed under the name Aeromonas hydrophila. RNAcentral describes it as "tRNA-Leu". RNAcentral also lists the same sequence under 4 other names. Lineage: Bacteria; Pseudomonadati; Pseudomonadota; Gammaproteobacteria; Aeromonadales; Aeromonadaceae. The record is from RNAcentral.